This is a long non-coding RNA of Sander lucioperca (pikeperch), 597 nucleotides long. RefSeq lists it as uncharacterized. The transcript is spliced from 2 exons. The record is from RefSeq and is a predicted model, not a curated record. NCBI's taxonomy places the organism in Eukaryota, Metazoa, Chordata, Actinopteri, Perciformes, Percidae.
UGCGGCGUGGUGGCCCUACAUCCCGGCAAAGACUGGAGCGACUGAGCUGCCCUCCCGAGCCUCUGAAGGUGAAGUCAGUUUCCCCAGGUGAAGUUUAAACACACGUUUAACUUAAAGUUAAAUUUGUAAUGAAUGUAAUGUAUGCUAAAGGCGGUUCAGCAACAGUAAUAACAGCACGUCUAUUACGUUAGCCAAACGUGAAAUCGCUCCCUCGUGAUUUAGUUUUGCUUUUAGUAAAGACAAGAACAGCUUAACACAACGUAUUAAAACCUGGCAACGUUUACAGAGGGUCGCCGUUUCGGUGGCGUUACGUUACAACACACUACACAGUGCUUGCUGAGAUCGAUCAUUUUUAUUUGAUUAGUUAAGCAGUAUCCUACUAUAAAAUCCACUUCCUCACAAAUCACGACAAUAAGGCUGCACAAAUUAAACCAGGUGAUAUCCUUAAAACAAAUAUAAUGGGAUUAAGUAGGCUAGUCUUAACAUAACUGUUGCUAGGCCUACUUAUUAGCUACAGGGCCCUACAGUGUAAUGUAGGUUAACCAGAGCUUUUCACAUCUGGAAUUUUACAGGCCAGAGUAGCUGGAGAUACAGAAA